Molecule: long non-coding RNA, 1357 nt
Organism: Chelonia mydas (Green sea turtle)
Lineage: Eukaryota; Metazoa; Chordata; Testudines; Cheloniidae
Exons: 2
Source: RefSeq, a predicted model, not a curated record
CAAGCUGCUGCAAUGGGAUGGAUUCAUGAUCAAGACAUCCUGAAGGCUGUCUAUCCUUUACACUCGAUGCCAUGAAGCAAAGCCUGCUGGGGAAGGCUCUGCAUGUCAAGGAACUGGGUGGUGCAGCUACAGUAACACCCAGCCAGCACAGCGCCUGCCAGUUUCAAAAUGGGAGACAGGGAGAACAGAGAAGCAGAACAAGCAGCAGGUGGAGCAGAACAGUUGAUUGGAUUUCCUGAAGGGGAGCCUCAGACAAGCCAGAAGUGAAGAGAGAGAAGCUCUAUGCAACUAAGUCAAGAGACGACACAGAAGCCCUGUGGCAAGGCGAUCUCUAGGGAUCUGCUGGCGAUAGAGGAAGUCGUGUUUUUAAAAAAGGCAACCACAACACAGAAAAAACUCGCCUCUCAGUAGGGAGGAAAAGGGUUUGGCGAUUAAAGCCCUAGAGCUGGCCACAGGAGAUCACCGACAACGUGUGCGCCCUGGGGGCAAGUCCCUACACUGCUUUAUGCCUCCGAUGGCUCUAGAGAAAUGAAAAGGGAGAAGUCUGGAUUUCGCACGAGGCACCGCCUAGGCUGCAUGGAAAUUCGUGGCCUUCCAGGGAACAGCGGGGCAUUGCCCCAGGGGGUUGGGAUUUAGGCCGCUCUUGGCGGGGGACGCUCUGAAGUCACGGUCUGAGCCAGCAACCUCUUGAGUCACGCAGUGCUUAAAAGAAAAGAAAAGAAAAAAAAAACCCACGUCCUUUUUGCACCUCGCCGAGUUUGGGAUUGUUGCAGUUUAAAGCGCCAGUGAAAGCUGCCUUGCAGCAGGGAGAGCUCGGCUCUUCCCAACCAGCCCUUUCAAAACCUGGAAGCUGGAGACCCUUUGCAAGGCGAGGAGCUGGGGGGUGGAAGAAGAGUUUAGCCACCCCCGUGUAAACAAACCGCGUCUUGGGUUGCACGGGGACACCCACGGGAACGUGCUGUGCCGCGGCCCCCCUCUCUAACAAUACCCAGCUCGGGGGAAAUCCCCGGGAAGCGUUUCACGUGCCCAUCGCUGACUCAGCCCAGCAAACCCAGGCUGCGCUCCUCCUCUGCUAGCCCUGGGAAGGGGUGGGGCGAGGGGGGCAGAGGGCUUCCUUUGUUGCUGCUGUUUCAGGUGCGCGUCCCCCUGCCAGUCCCCGCGCCAGCAGCUCCUUGCUCUGGCCAUCGCGCGCUUCUCCCCUGCAGACAGACGAAGAGGCUGAGCAGAGCCCCGCGCGCCUCCUUUUACCUGGUCCCGGCGAGCCGAGUCCCGAACCCCUGGGGCAGGAGAGCGAGUCCCACCUUCCCUCCGGCAGAGCUGGCGCCGCAGUGAAACCCGGCAGCGCGAGCCCUGCUCU